This is a long non-coding RNA of Bombyx mori (domestic silkworm), 282 nucleotides long. RefSeq lists it as uncharacterized. NCBI's taxonomy places the organism in Eukaryota, Metazoa, Arthropoda, Insecta, Lepidoptera, Bombycidae. The transcript has 2 exons. The record is from RefSeq and is a predicted model, not a curated record.
CUAAGUCGUAUUAAGUCUUGUUCACUAAUCUGGACAUUUUUGUCAAUGCGUACAUCUCUAUAAAGUGGGUUAUUUCUAGUUAACCAUCUUAAAGCGCUGUAGAAUUUUUCGCGAGAUAUUGUGAACUCUCUUGUGAUGUUCAAAUUCUCCAAACGUUCUGUAACUACAACGAUACCCACCUGGCUGGAAGAUCUUGGAAGCAUAUUAGAUCAAUCUGACAACGGGAAGGUGCUUAAAUUUCAAUUUCUAAUUUUGACCCAAAUAAAUAAAAAACAAAUUCCG